UACGUAGGGGGCAAGCGUUGUCCGGAUUUAUUGGGCGUAAAGAGCUCGUAGGUGGUUCGGUAAGUCGGGUGUUAAACCCCCAGGCUCAACCUGGGGACGCCACUCGAUACUGCUGUGACUUGAGUCCGGUAGGGGAGCGUGGAAUUCACGGUGUAGCAGUGAAAUGCGUAGAUAUCGUGAGGAACACCGGUGGCGAAGGCGGCUUCCUGGACCGACACUGACGCUGAGGCGCGAAAGCUAGGGGAGCAAACGGG
RNAcentral lists this ribosomal RNA (254 nucleotides) under uncultured bacterium. RNAcentral describes it as "partial 16S ribosomal RNA". It matches the Rfam family "Bacterial small subunit ribosomal RNA", at positions 524 to 776 of the family's 1533-position model. The record is from RNAcentral.